ACCAAAAAAAAAAAAAAGUUAUUUCUUGGGUCUAGAGCAAUGGUUUAGAUAUUAAGAGCUGCUGCUACUGCUGCUACGCUUCAACAGGAUCCAAGUUCAGUUCCUAGCACCCACCCAGCGGCUCCCAACCAUCUGUAACUCCAGUUCCAGGAAUCUGAUGGCUUCUUCUGGCCACUUCAGGCACCAGCAUGCAUGCGGUACACAAACAUAUUUGCAAGUAAAACAACCAUAGACAAAAAUAAAAUAAAAUAUUUGAAGAAAAUAAGGUGGGAAGUGGCUGAGAAAGAGAAAGUUGUCAAAUCCAACUCCUCUAUACACACACACACAGUCACAAUGUACUAAUUUUUUUCUAAUAAAACAUCAAUUUUUUUUCUUUCGUCCCCCCACCCCUUUUCUCAGAUAGCUAAGCAGUUAGCAAACCCAGAACAGGACCGUGAGGAACUGACAGCGAUGUUAGGGUUCAGCAGGAUGCUGUUAGAGAGAUGCAUGCUAGUGUGUCUGCUGGGAGACAGGAGGAGGGGCUUCUGAAGUCUGACAGCCAGAGGUUUUUUUUAGCCAUUAUAGGGAAUCACAGAAUGUUUUUCUUUGCUUCUUUCAUUCCCUUCAGAUCAGAGUAAAACCUCGAUUUGUCUAAGGCAGAAUAUUUGGGGGUAGGACAUUUUUCUUUGUAUGGCUUCUAGUUUUAAAGUUUUUCAUGAUCUUGUUGCAAUGGCUGUGGCAGAAAGGCCUGGACAUUAGCGGGAGGAGGAGAUCAAUCCAUACUGACCGGGCAGCUCGAAUGGCAAUCCUUGUCCAGGCUGCAAAUGUGGACCCCUUAUGUGAAGUUAGAAUUUCCAGGAUACCACUCUCCUGCUUCCUAUUUUGGCAACUGCUUGGAGGCCCAAUUCCCCUGAAGACUAUCUUGUGUUUCUUUGGGACCCUGCUUCAUUCUGGCCUCAUGAGAUGUGUUGGGAAUAUAGCAUUCUUGUUUAGAAUAUGAAUGUCUCCAAAGUCUCAAAUAAACUUCAACUUUCUUGAGUACGAAUGGCAGUUAUGAUAACAACAUCACUUCUGAAGAGUGUUUGGGGACACAUCAUUAAAGAAGGCAGGUUGGGUGGAGGACAGGUGCUGGUUCUUGUUGGGUGUUUGAUUUCCCUCAUGCCUCACCAGAGAUGGGCUGGUGGUUUGUGGUCUAUGGUUGAAGAAACAUUUGUAGGCUAUUCUGUGGUUGGCACCUCAGUACGUGGGACCAGCAUUAAAACCGCAUUUUCUUCAUCCAAGUCUUCCUCAGAUUAGUUCUUGUUGAAAGUCUCCAGGCUGAAGUAUGACAUUAUUCAGGCAGGCUUGAAAGAAGACAAAGGUCCUAUUUGUGUGUGUGUGUGUGUGUCUGGAUCUUAUUAUGUAUCCCUGGCUAUCAUGGAACUGGCUCGGUAGACCAGGUUGGCCUUGAAUUUGCAGAGAUCUGCCUACCUCUGCCUUCCAAGUGUUGGGAUUAAAGUUGUACACCACCAUGCCUGGCAAAAUGUUAUUUCUUAGUAUUGUGCUGUAUGAUUGGUGUGUGUAUUGGUGGUGUGUGUAUAUAUGUGUCAGUGGUAUGUGUGUGUGUGUUGUGUGUGCAUGUGCAAAGGCCACAUCCUGACCAAAAGACCAUGUUCCAUAGUUGUGAUGGAUGGUGCACAGCUGUAAUCCACUUGGGAGACAGAGGCAGGUGGCUCUUUUCCAGGUCCUGGACAGCCAUGCCUCCAAUGUUCCGCUCCUUCUACUGACUCUUACACUCUUUCUACCCCAACAUUCCUUGAGCCUUGUCCCAUUUAUGGCUGAACAUUCCAUAGCCAUUUAUUUUCCCUCCUUUAACCAGAAGUCUGUAGUUAACAUUGCCCACUGUCCACUGCUGACCACAGCAGUAAUUUAUAAGCAUGAACGUACAUAGGCUUAGGUUUUUCAAAACCUACUUUAAUAGGGGUUCUCAAACACUUCGACCCACCUCCUAGCCCACUGUCCAAAGGUAGGGGAGAAAAAUUGGUAAAUAGGAUGUGGACCUGCUUAGUGGUUCUUUAGCCUGGUUCCAACCUCCAGUUGUCAGGAUACUGGCAAUCCAAUAGAGUAGUGUCAGGAUAGGAAGCACAAAUGAGCUGCAUGAACCAGAACCGACAGUCCUGUGCCUGAUCCAGCAUGAGUCAGCAGGAGAGACCAGGACCAGCUGGAGAGCCUUGCGAAGCUGUGCUCUGUGGUGCCGUCUUCCGGAAAGAGAGGUGGCAACCUCCGGCAGCCCAUUCGGCCAGUUUUUUGUUUGUUUGUUUUGUUUGUUUUGUUUUUUGAGACAGGGUUUCUCUGUGUAGCCCUGGCUGUCCUAGAACUCACUCUGUAGACCAGGCUGGCCUUGAACUCAGAAAUCUGCCUGCCUCUGCCUCCCGAGUGCUGGGAUUAAAGGCGUGCGCCACCACUGCCUGGCUCUGCCUGGGAUUUUAACACUGCUGUUGAAGGUAGGAGAAGCUCCAGACUUACCACCAGACCCUGAUGGGGGCCUCCGACAGGCCGACAGGCAGCCCACAAAUUUGCCCAAGGUGAGGCACGUGAUGCAGGGAAAGAGUAAGAGCCCCAGGAGCAUCUAGACUUUUUGAAGCCUAUAGGACCUACACUGCUUUUGACCCAGAAGCCAGAGUCAGCUGUGAACAUGGCUUCUGUUAACCAAGCUGCCCUUGACAUUGGUUAGGAACUUCAGCCACUGAAAAACUUUGAGGUGUGCCUCUGGCAUCCAAAAGCCAGCCUCUAUUUGCCUUUGAAUGGCAAGAUUUGGAGAGAGACUUCUUGGACACGCCUUCCUCAAAGAUUCAAAAACUCACCCAUCAUCUUUGACAAGCCACUGCGUGAGGACUUGGGUGAGGACCAGCUGGCCCACCCCCAAAUAACUGUGCUCCAGUAUGUAUUGCGGGGCCCCUGACUUGGAGACAUGCCAGGAGGCCACAUGAGACCUGCGACAAGAGCUGAGUCGACUUGGCUACCUAGUGUCUGCUAAGAAGGUCCAGCUCUGUCAACUUGAGGUCACCUAUCUGGGGCACAUAUUCAAGGGGAGGCGGCCAACUCAUGCUGUCAGACUCUCACUCUGCCCUGUGUUCCCAGCCAUACCUGAAUAUACCAGUGAAGACAAAUGACAUCAGGCAAAAUUCUAAGGAGUUUACAGAAGAAACAGAAGGCUGCCGACCUCUGAAGGAGGUUGCUAAGGAACUCAUCCGUCAGAUUCGUCAAGCUUCACACCUGGCCACUGAAAAGUGAAGGAAAUGCUGUGAGGGGCAAGGCACAAAGUAUUUUUAGGACACUUGGUUGACCAGGUAAUCUUGGACUGCCACCUGCCAGGCUGGGAACUCUUCACACCCCAAUCAAGGAGCCACUCCAGAAACCAAAAUCAGGGCUCAAUGGCCAGGGGCUAGUUGGGAAAUAGCUUAUACAGAAAUAAAACCAGGACCAUAUGGAUAUCAGUCUGUGCAAGUUUUUAUAGAUAUCUUUUCAGGAUGGGUAGAUGACUACCCUACAAAGUAGGAGACUGCUAAUGUAGUGGCAAAGAAGCUCCUGGGAGACAUCAUACUCAGGUGUGGUUUGCCUGCCCUGCCUGGGUCUGAUAAUGGACCAGCAUUGACCAAAAUUAACCCUUGAGACUGGCAGUGACUGGGUGUCCCUCCUACCUUAUACCUUAUAUAGGGCUAGGAACACCCCCUAUACUUUAGGUCGCCCCACCUUUGAGAUCCUAUAUGGGAGGCCCCCUCCCAUGCUGCCUAACCUUCAUUCUGAUAUCGUAGCUGAAUAUGACCAAAAUCAUAUAUAAAAUCGUUAGAAGCCCUCCACAGGGUUCAGAAGUAACUCUGACCUGCCAUCUGCCAGAUUUGUGAGUCUGCUCAUCCCCCUACCCCCCAUUGCUUUGAACCAGGUGACAAAGUCUGGAUUAAGAGAGAAAGCCACGCUGGGCAUAGUAGCAACACUUGGGAGGCAGAGGUAGGCUGAUCUCUGAGUUCCAGGCCAGCCUGGUCUACAAAGUGAGUUCCAGGACAGCCAAGGCUACACAGAGAAAACCUGUCUCAAAAAAAAAAAAAAAAAAAAAAAAAAAAAAGAAAAGAAAAAGAAAAAGAAAGAAAAAGAAAAAGAAAAAGAAAAAGAAAGAAAAAGAAAAAGAAAAAGAAAAAGAAAGAAAGAAAGACAUAGCCACAAGAGUCUGGAGCCUUUCUGGAAUGGACCUCACACCAUGAUCCUGACCAUGCCUAUGGCUGUUAAGGUGUGCGGGAUCAGGAUGUGGGUAUACCACUCUCAUGUUAGUCCUGCCAGGAGAGAGAAGAUCCAGCCGUUGAGGUCCCAGUAAAGGGGACUUUCAGGUGAACUGCCGCAAGAGUGAUGGAAGGCCCCCCACACCCUGUCGAUCCACAGCAGCUGGGACUCAGCGUUCCUGGACCUGCUUGCUUGUUCCUUGUGCUCUGCUUCACCAGCCACUGCCCCCUUUCUAUCUGGGUAACCCCAGGGGACGGUGCAACAACCUUGUCAAGUUCACAGUGGCUGGCAAGAAGGCCAAUUGCACAGAUGGUUCUUAACUCCUGUCUCCCUGGACUUAACACAGAACUGUUGGCUACCAGACAGGGGCUCUGUAUUGGAAAGAAGGUAGCCCCAGCCUAUCCCCACCUCUGCAUCUCUGCAACCGCACUGUAACCCCUACUGUUGUAGGAUACCUGCUGUCCCCAGAGAAUGCUUGGUAGGCUUGUACCUCAGGGCUUACUCUAUGCAUUUAUGGCCUGGUUGUAAAUACAACUGAGGAUUUUUAUGUUCUCGUACAGCUUGCACCCUGAGUGACUUAUUACUCUAGGAAGGAUGUCUUCAACCAGGUAGCACUUCCAAACAGUCGGGUUAAAAGGGUGGCCAUUACCACUUUGUUACUAGGUUCUCUCCUUGACAUAGGGCUGGCUGGCGAUGCUGGUGUAGGGGCCUCAGAAACAACUCCAAGGAUUCAAGAUGGCCCAUUACUGAAAGGGAGGAAUGAGAAGGCUGGGCUGAUUCCAGUUGAGGAGACUAGCCGAAAUCUCUGUUCCCAAGAACUGAGCAAUUCCAAGCAAGUCCAGCCCUUAGAAGCUGCCCUGCCAUCUGGUCUGAGGCAAGGACAGUGCUUCAGCAACAGUUUCCAGACCUCCCCAGCAAGUUUCCAGCUCCCACACCCAGGUAAUGGAGUGUUCGUAGAGUUGGACCCAACAGAAUAACAUAGAAGUCAUCUACCUCGAAAUUCCCUAGUGUUUUAAAUCAGGCCUGCAAGUUCACUUGGUUGUCUCUCUAUCUUGAUAAUGGAAGACCCAAGGAUGCAGGACUUUUGCAGAAUAAAACACUCUUUGCGUUUACAUACUAUUUGAGUCUGGGGUGUCAUUCUUCAGUGAAUCAUGGAUCCUUACAAGCUGUCUCAACAAUUAAGAGCACUUGGUGUUAAAGUUAUUCCUCCCAGCCCCAUGCUCCCA
RNAcentral lists this long non-coding RNA (5459 nucleotides) under Mus musculus (house mouse). RNAcentral describes it as "long non-coding RNA chr19:7402121-7407580". Lineage: Eukaryota; Metazoa; Chordata; Mammalia; Rodentia; Muridae. The record is from RNAcentral.